This 1020-nucleotide ribosomal RNA is filed under the name Colletotrichum dematium. Its description in RNAcentral is "SSU rRNA". It matches the Rfam family "Eukaryotic small subunit ribosomal RNA", at positions 75 to 1105 of the family's 1831-position model. The record is from RNAcentral. RNAcentral also lists the same sequence under 2 other names. Lineage: Eukaryota; Fungi; Ascomycota; Sordariomycetes; Glomerellales; Glomerellaceae.
UAUACCGCGAAACUGCGAAUGGCUCAUUAUAUAAGUUAUCGUUUAUUUGAUAGUACCUUACUACUUGGAUAACCGUGGUAAUUCUAGAGCUAAUACAUGCUAAAAAUCCCGACUUCGGAAGGGAUGUAUUUAUUAGAUUAAAAACCAAUGCCCUUCGGGGCUCACUGGUGAUUCAUAAUAACUUCUCGAAUCGCAUGGCCUUGCGCCGGCGAUGGUUCAUUCAAAUUUCUUCCCUAUCAACUUUCGAUGCUAGAGUAGUGUUCUAGCAUGGUUACAACGGGUAACGGAGGGUUAGGGCUCGACCCCGGAGAAGGAGCCUGAGAAACGGCUACUACAUCCAAGGAAGGCAGCAGGCGCGCAAAUUACCCAAUCCCGACACGGGGAGGUAGUGACGAUAAAUACUGAUACAGGGCUCUUUUGGGUCUUGUAAUUGGAAUGAGUACAAUUUAAAUCCCUUAACGAGGAACAAUUGGAGGGCAAGUCUGGUGCCAGCAGCCGCGGUAAUUCCAGCUCCAAUAGCGUAUAUUAAAGUUGUUGUGGUUAAAAAGCUCGUAGUAGAACCUUGGGCCUGGCUGGCCGGUCCGCCUCACCGCGUGCACUGGUCCGGCCGGGCCUUUCCCUCUGUGGAACCGCAUGCCCUUCACUGGGUGUGCCGGGGAAACAGGACUUUUACUUUGAAAAAAUUAGAGUGCUCCAGGCAGGCCUAUGCUCGAAUACAUUAGCAUGGAAUAAUAGAAUAGGACGUGUGGUUCUAUUUUGUUGGUUUCUAGGACCGCCGUAAUGAUUAAUAGGGACAGUCGGGGGCAUCAGUAUUCAAUUGUCAGAGGUGAAAUUCUUGGAUUUAUUGAAGACUAACUACUGCGAAAGCAUUUGCCAAGGAUGUUUUCAUUUAUCAGGAACGAAAGUUAGGGGAUCGAAGACGAUCAGAUACCGUCGUAGUCUUAACCAUAAACUAUGCCGACUAGGGAUCGGACGAUGUUAUUUUUUGACUCGUUCGGCACCUUACGAGAAAUCAAAGUG